GUUAAGGGAUUCCCUGCUCUGCUGCGUUCGUCUAUGUUUGGGGAAAUGCCUCUGAACAUAGACGAACGCAACAGAGAAGGAAAUCUCUCUAAU
This 93-nucleotide microRNA precursor is filed under the name Pelobates cultripes (western spadefoot toad). The record is from RNAcentral. Lineage: Eukaryota; Metazoa; Chordata; Amphibia; Anura; Pelobatidae.